GUGAGCUAGGAAGAGGAAGAAAUAUUCUAAGAGCAGUGAGAAUGGGAACACGGAGGAAACCCCGAGCUAUCUGUCUGCACCUCUGAAACUAGAGGUGGAUAUUUGUCUCAGUGUUUCCCCAUGCCUCCCAUUCCUAUUGUUCUUAGGUUCUCCUUCCCCUUCCUUUUAGCU
This 171-nucleotide microRNA precursor is filed under the name Triticum aestivum (bread wheat). RNAcentral's name for it is "MIR2118 microRNA precursor family". It matches the Rfam family "MIR2118 microRNA precursor family". The record is from Rfam by way of RNAcentral. Lineage: Eukaryota; Viridiplantae; Streptophyta; Magnoliopsida; Poales; Poaceae.